RNAcentral lists this ribosomal RNA (468 nucleotides) under uncultured bacterium. RNAcentral describes it as "partial 16S ribosomal RNA". It matches the Rfam family "Bacterial small subunit ribosomal RNA", at positions 28 to 507 of the family's 1533-position model. The record is from RNAcentral.
GACGAACGCUGGCGGCGUGCUUAACACAUGCAAGUCGAACGGAAAGGCCCUGCUUUUGUGGGGUGCUCGAGUGGCGAACGGGUGAGUAACACGUGAGUAACCUGCCCUUGACUUUGGGAUAACUUCAGGAAACUGGGGCUAAUACCGGAUAGGAGCUCCUGCUGCAUGGUGGGGGUUGGAAAGUUUCGGCGGUUGGGGAUGGACUCGCGGCUUAUCAGCUUGUUGGUGGGGUAGUGGCUUACCAAGGCUUUGACGGGUAGCCGGCCUGAGAGGGUGACCGGACACAUUGGGACUGAGAUACGGCCCAGAGUCCUACGGGAGGCAGCAGUGGGGAAUAUUGCACAAUGGGCGGAAGCCUGAUGCAGCAACGCCGCGUGCGGGAUGACGGCCUUCGGGUUGUAAACCGCUUUCGCCUGUGACGAAGCGUGAGUGACGGUAAUGUGUAAAGAAGCACCGGCUAACUACGUG